AUUUGAUUUAAUUUUUAUUUGGAAUAAUUUAUAAGAAGUGAUUUUACUAUAGAUGCAUUUACCCUGCUAAACACGUGCAAGGUUAUAUAUAAAUCAGAAACGAAACUAAUGAAUGCAGUCUAAGUGACAUGAAGAAAAUGCGAUUUCAACUAUUUCUCUUAUUCCUAUGCCUGAUUGGGGCCUUUGCGAUGCCCGCCGAUGAAGAGUCUAAGAAUGCUCAGAAACCUGAUAUUGAUAUCGCAGCGUUAACUUUAAAACCCCUGGCUCGUAGCGCCGAAGAAAUGAGUAAAGCUGCUAAGGAUACCGUAAAGACUGGAGGCGAUAUGCUGGCGUCUAUGCUAGGAUGAAUGGAUUUGGCAUACCCAUGAAUAUAAUGCAGUGGCGACUUACAAUAAUUAAUGUAACGACUAUAACAACCGCAUAAUAAAAUGUGACUAAUAAA
Cydia splendana is the source of this 442-nucleotide long non-coding RNA. RefSeq lists it as uncharacterized. The record is from RefSeq and is a predicted model, not a curated record. The transcript is spliced from 4 exons. Lineage: Eukaryota; Metazoa; Arthropoda; Insecta; Lepidoptera; Tortricidae.